UACGUAGGGGGCAAGCGUUGUCCGGAAUCAUUGGGCGUAAAGAGCGUGUAGGCGGCUCGGUAAGUCCGCUGUGAAAGUCCAGGGCUCAACCCUGGAAUGCCGGUGGAAACUGUCGAGCUAGAGUCCGGAAGAGGCGAGUGGAAUUCCUGGUGUAGCGGUGAAAUGCGCAGAUAUCAGGAGGAACACCGGUGGCGAAGGCGGUGGUCUGGGCCGGCACUGACGCUGAGAAGCGAAAGCGUGGGUAGCAAACAGG
RNAcentral lists this ribosomal RNA (253 nucleotides) under uncultured bacterium. Its description in RNAcentral is "partial 16S ribosomal RNA". It matches the Rfam family "Bacterial small subunit ribosomal RNA", at positions 524 to 776 of the family's 1533-position model. The record is from RNAcentral.